This 292-nucleotide ribosomal RNA is filed under the name uncultured bacterium. RNAcentral describes it as "partial 16S ribosomal RNA". It matches the Rfam family "Bacterial small subunit ribosomal RNA", at positions 505 to 796 of the family's 1533-position model. The record is from RNAcentral.
GUGUCAGCAGCCGCGGUAAUACGAAGGGGGCUAGCGUUGUUCGGAAUCACUGGGCGUAAAGCGCGCGUAGGCGGAUUGUUAAGUCAGGGGUGAAAUGCCGAGGCUCAACCUCGGAACUGCCUUUGAUACUGGCAAUCUUGAGUCCGGGAGAGGUGAGUGGAACUCCUAGUGUAGAGGUGAAAUUCGUAGAUAUUAGGAAGAACACCAGUGGCGAAGGCGGCUCACUGGCCCGGAACUGACGCUGAUGUGCGAAAGCGUGGGGAGCAAACAGGAUUAGAUACCCCCGUAGUCC